Molecule: long non-coding RNA, 314 nt
Filed under: Setaria italica (foxtail millet)
Lineage: Eukaryota; Viridiplantae; Streptophyta; Magnoliopsida; Poales; Poaceae
Description: long non-coding RNA (SITA_LNC000743)
Source: RNAcentral
CCCUUCCUGUCGCCGUGGCGCGCGCGUUCCUUCUCACGACGUUGACGCCGGCAUCAAUUGAAGUCGCUCAACGGCUGCAGAAGAAGCCGGCUUGCUCUGGUUGCUCUUGGCUGACGGACGAAACUGACGAAGUGAACGGGGAAAGCUUCAGAGUUGCCUGACACAAGACGUCUGCGGCAACAGAGUAUCCUCUGAAUCAUUCAUGUUUGCCCGUGAAAAACAAAUAAGCAUUUCUCAGCUUCCACCAAAGGCCCAGGGAAUCCAAAAUCCUAGCCAAUAUCUGUGGCGUUGGCGGAUCAUGGAGUUCAGGAUUU